Long non-coding RNA from Harpia harpyja (harpy eagle), 2463 nucleotides. RefSeq lists it as uncharacterized. The transcript has 4 exons. The record is from RefSeq and is a predicted model, not a curated record. Lineage: Eukaryota; Metazoa; Chordata; Aves; Accipitriformes; Accipitridae.
UGUUUACAUCGAUGUAACCGAGAAUUUUGCUUGAGUGAAAACUAUGAUUUUAGGUUCUGAUCCACUGACUGAAAUCUUGGCCCUAAAGAAGCUGGUGGAAAUUUUGCCUUUGAAUUCCAACAGGUUUGCUACUUGUCCAGAAGUUACUGUGCGGUUUCUUAACUGACAUUAAGUUUGUGUUGCUGAUUAGUAUUCAAGUUACACCCAUCUGGCAAGUUGGAAGUGCCUGGUCCUCUGUUCCAGGUCUGGAGAGCAGUGGUAAAAACAAGCUCACGCUGCAGGGAGCAGCAGUGCAUCAGCAGGACUAGGGCCACGCAGGUGCUGGUCACCGGCUUCCGUAGGGCCUUGCAGGGAGACGUUCCGCUGCCUACGCUCGUCCACGUCCUUUUAAAGGCCAGACACCAGGAGAAGAUGGAAAGCUGGGGUCAAACAGCAGCAUCGUGAAAGAAAACCCAACCUCGACCCUGCGUAAUGCAGGAGCUACAACUGGAUAAUGAGGACCAUACUGCGACACUGAGUUUGGACCAUUGCAAAGUUUCACUCAGGUGCUGGGUUGCCUGAUGUGACUCGAAACAAGACAAUCGCUUCAGGCACUGAGCGAAGCAGGUACUACGGUGCUCUGACCACUUGGACCCCGGCAGAGGCAGAGGACUGAUUGGAUUUGAUGCUCGGGUGAUCCUAAGAGCAAACCGUGCCCCAUGCUGCACAGGCAGGUAGAAGCAUAAAGCCCAAAACGCGUCACUGUAAACCAUCAUGUAGUGUGAGUUAAAUCAGAGCUGAGGAAUAUUUGACAUCACACAAUGAUGGCUGGCUGAAAGCAGCCAAAGAUAAAAGUGUCCAGAAGAGAAGAAAACAAGUGAGUAAUUCAUUUUUCCACUGAAUAUCUGGGUCACGGGAUUGUUUUAUUUCCGGGCUCAAAAUUAAUGCAACUUUCAUGGCAGAUUUUUAGUACUGUGAAGGCCAGAAUAGCAGUUUUAAGACCAGUUUCAUUCCAGGUCUCAAAGGAGGUGGUUUUACAAUUGGUUUACACUGCUCCAACUCCCCACUGGCACAGAAAGGGGUGAUCCCUCUCUCACCCCUUGCUGCAGGUUUCCAUCUCUUCUCCUGUGUAUUUCCCCACCAGUAAUUCUUCCCCAGGACCAGUUUUUGGUCGCUGGAUCAGAGGGCGGACCUGAUCACUAAGCAUGGAGACGCUGGCACUGCUGAGAGCAGAGCAAGAGGUGUCCUUCGGGGGCUUGCCCAGGGGGAUUUCCACCUCACAGCCCUGCCACUGUCCCUGCAAGCCAGCUCAGGUAGCCUGUGGCUUCUAGAGGUGCUGGAGACGUCCGAUCCACAAGUAGCCGGGUGAGCUCUUGGGCUGCCCCAGGCAGGAGGGAAAAGCCAACAGAGAUGGUUAUUUUCUCGACCUCUCUGCAUCUGUCUUUCCCUAGACAAUUUACCUACCCUGUCACUGAUUCUACCUUUCCCACCCUAACGUGGGGUCCUGACUGUCAGAAAUAAGUAGAAAUCUUUUAAUUGACUUCUACUAUUAGGACCAUGGUUCUGGUAUUACACUGUUUUGUGUCAAGGUGAGCUUGUGAAGAGAAAUACCCAUCUGUAAAAUUGUAUUUUGUAGUCCAAUUUAAGCAAAAGUUGCAGUUUAGCUAAGAGAUUAUCUAGCUUUACCUUUAUACCUCACCUCCUGGUUCACCUACCUACUGCUCAGUUAUGACUUCCAGGACAGUUUGAUAUGGGAGACUGCUACAUCAGUGUUUUGAAAGUUUCUCUCUUGAAUUCUAGGAUCUUCAGCUGGCACACACUAAUGCUUCUCUUCUCAAAAAUGUAUUUUAAAGUGCAAGCUGUCAACAAUUCUGUGAGAUGCACGCUGCUGUUUCCUAGAAGAUACUUAAGAAAAAACCUGCAUCAAUGAGAAGGGACAACAAAAAGAAAACUGCAGCCAGUGGCAAGGUAGGAAUUAUUAUAUGUUUGGCAUAUCUCUACUCUUCAUUGCUAGGAGAGAAAAGCACUGAAGUCUUAUUUUACCUGAACUUGAAAAAUCCUUCACAUCUAAUGGAGUUACUAUACUGGUGACCAUCUCCAGUCCUGUUUCUAAUUACCACAGUUUCACUGGCUAGUGGGCUAAUAAUGUUAGUUUUAAAAUACAGUGCUCAUGAUUAAAUUCCAUUAUAAAAUUAUCCUAUUUUUAAUAGAUCCAGUAAUAUACUAACCAAUAGGAAACAAGCCUUCUUAAAAAAAAACUAAAAGAACAAAAGCCAACCAAAGAAACACCACCACCCCCGCAAAACCCAACAUUUCUGUCUCUUGCAUUCACAUAAUAUAGCACACUCCUUCCAGGAAAUUCUUUUCAUUUUUUUACAGUGGAGGACAGGAAAGAAGGAAGUGACCAUGACUAGUACAUUUCUCCUCUUGUUUUCACAGAGUGUGCAAAGAAAAAGGGGAAAUAAACUGCAGAAAGUGGUUACA